This is a non-coding RNA of Benincasa hispida (wax gourd), 4098 nucleotides long. NCBI's taxonomy places the organism in Eukaryota, Viridiplantae, Streptophyta, Magnoliopsida, Cucurbitales, Cucurbitaceae. The record is from RefSeq and is a predicted model, not a curated record.
UUGUUGUUUUGCUUUCCAUGUUAGACUAAAGAUUUACAGAAAUAAUGAUCUUAUUUUACUAUCUCUUUGGUUUGGAUUCUUGGAACUAGAGCAAUUCUUGAUACUUGAUUUCUGGGUCAUUACUGGAUUUAUAUAUAUGUAUAUCUUCAAGAUUAAACUUACUGGGCAAUGAGCAAUGAUACUGAUGUUAAUCUUAAAACCAAAACAGAGUUGAUAUAGAACUGUAAUUAGUUAUAUAAUCUUGAUUUUUUAAGUUGGGUUUUUAUGAUUUAAAAGUUUAGUAGCUGUAGAAUUUAGAGAAAUUAUUAUUUAUUUUGCCAUAUGUUUGGUUAGGUUUGUUGAAAAUAGAGCAAAAUUUGAUGUAUAUUAUGUGUUUGUGUGUUAGUUUAAUCUUUUUAAAAACAAUUAUGAGGCUGAAGAGAACUUGGAGUGAAUGACUUGAGCGGUUGAAAAUUUGGGUCUAUCUUUGGAUUUAUGUAUUAAUAGAUUUAGUUAGACUCAUUUUAUAAAUGGAGAACGAAUAUAAUAAUCCUAUCUUAGUUAGUAGAUUAGAAAAGAUUAGGGAUAUAUAAUCACAACAUUUUUGUUAGUACUAAGCUUUUGUUAAGUUAAAAUUGAUAAUUGAGAAGAAAGAUGAUAGCAUUAGAUAUUUUAGGGUGGCUAAUAUAAAGGAAAUUUAUACGGAUGACCCAUUUCUUGGGUCCAAAAUGUCAAAUGAUCUAUUUUUUAAAAAUAAUGUCAAUUGACCAUCUGCUUACAUUAUCGUCAUACCAAAUUACGUAAAUUGCCCUUACCUCUUCAUCUUCUUACCUUUUUAUUGAAAACCAAACAAAACUAAAAACUCUUCAUUCAAACUUUCCAAGGCUAAUGGUUUCGUAUUACUCAUAAACUAAAACCUCUUUAGAAUUCAUCAUUUCGGUUGCAAAUAAUUCCACUGUCGUUGACAAAUCGAAUCUUAUCAGUAAAUCUUUCAAUCUGUGCUUGAAAAUAUCUUAAAUUGAUCGGUAAUAAGGCUUUGUGGGUCGUUUUGGGUUUAGAAAUACUGUGAACCUAUGGUUUUUUUUGUUUUCGAUAUGUUCUGUGGUUGAAGACGAGUAGAAAGAGUUUGUGAGCAAGAUAAGUGAGUGAAAUCGGUAGAGCGAUACUAGAGAGAGUGAUACCAGAAAGGAUGGGUCAUUAUGAGGUUUAGAAAUAAUGUGAACCUAUGAUUUUUUUUUUGCUUGUUUUUCUGGUUUUCGAUGUUUUCAAUGGUUGAAGACGAGUAAAAGAGAGAAUGUGAGCGAGAUAAGUGAGAGUUACUAGAGAGAGUGACAUCAGAGAGAGUGACACUAGAGAGAUCGAUAUCGGAGAGAGCAACAAUAGAGAGAGCAAUAUCAGAGAGAGCAAAGCUAGUGAGAGUGAAUCCAGUGAGAGUGAAACAUAAUGUUUUUUUACAAUUUUUUUCUGAAGGAGUUUACUGAUUGAAUUUUUAUUUCAUGUAGGAGUGAUUUAAGAUGACAACACACUUCAGAAUACCCGUAGUCGACCGAUUUCCCGGUCAAGUAACAAGCUUGGCGCACAUUGCUAAUGCAAACAAGAUUGUGAAGGAGAAGUUUAUCUCAAGACAGUUAGACAUGUUCAAGAGAACAUUUUUUGGGCGAUUUGUAGACGUUGACAUGGUGUUUAAGAGCCCAAUUAUCCAUCAUAUAUUGUUGAGAGAAGUGAAGAGGAUGAGAUCUUACUCUAUGUCAUUCUCUAUUUGUGGAAAGAUCGUCACUUUUUCGAAUGAUGAUUUUUUGUUGAUUGGUUAUGGUGAUCCCUAACACGAGUUGAUCAGAAUGAGCAGUCUUCGUAUGAACUUGCAAUCAAGUAUUUUGGUAAUCGAGUGAAAAAGGACACCUUACAUGGCCGUCUACUUGAAGAAAAAUACAAGGAGUUGGAGUUUGAAAAUGAUGAGGAUGUUGUAAAGAUCACAAUAGUCUACUAUACUGAGGUUGCAAUGAUGGGAAAGAACAAACAAAAAAAUGCAGUAGACCUCAAAUCUUUUAAGGACGUUCAAAACUUAGAGUACUACAACAAUCUUGAUUAAGGUACCAUUAUUUGGUAGAGACACUGAUGCCUUAAAGACUGCGUUGAAUGAUAAGAGUAGUCUAUACAAGACAAAGGUGAAAGGAAAUAAAAUUACGUUGUGAAGUACUCUUUGCGUGGAUUUCCACAAACGUUCUAGAUAUGGACGUACGAGAUCCUAGUUGCAUCGAUAGCUAGGAACAUUGCGGAGCGAAUGAGCAAGGUGGCUUUGCCCCGCAUAGUACGAUGGUCAUGCUUCCACUUAGUGUCCUUCAAAGUACUCGAGAGAGAGAUAUUCGAGUCUAACAAUGUACGUUUACUCUUUGCAUAAUAUGUUCAUCUGGUUGUUAAAUUGACACUAACUAGUUUACUGGUGUUAGUGUAGAUAAAGGUUAAAGAGGGUAUUAUCAUGAUAGACGCUGAGAGGGAGUUUCAAGAUACCCUAGUGUACAGACGGCCUAUAUUUGAUCUAGGUGCGGAUGAUGAUACUGCUGAAAGUAGCAAUAGGUUGACUAGUGAUAGAGGUAGUUUUGAAAGUGAAAGUGACGGUGAUGAUCAUCAUGGAGAUGGUAAUGAUAAAUGUGGAAGGGUGGAGGGAGAGGAUGAACACGAGCAUUUUGAGCACGAGAAUGCUGAAUAUGGAAGGGUGGAAUGAGGGACAUACACACCCAGUGAUGAUAUGUUCCAUGAUGUGGUGGGGGACGUACGUGAUGAGGACAAGUUGAACCCACCUGAUGUCCAUCUUGCAGACUCCUAUAAAAAGCGAUCUAUGGAUAAGGAGUGACGUGAGUAUGCUGCCCCCAGGGAGGGAGCCAAUCCCGAUGAUUCUAUUUAUUCGUACCUGUGGGCCAUUGACAGCUCAUUAUCAAGGUUGGAUGGUCAUAUAUCGAGUUUAGAUAGUCGUGUAUCCAAUAUGGAGGAAAACAUGACAGACAUGAAAGGACAAUUAUCGGCUAUCCUAUCACUGUUGCAGUCUAUGUGCAAGAUUUGCAUUUACUAUCAUUUUAUGUCUUUAUGUGUUUAGUUUUUACGUAUUCGUGAACUCAUCAUUUUACUUUACUAAUUGAAGGGUGCCACGGUGAAUGACGAGACAACAAGGUCACCCAUCCCAUCUCAGGAUUUCGAUACCAAUAAUGUGACUGCCUCAGAUACUCCCAUCCCUCUAUAGAGCCUCAAAAUACCACCACUUUACUUACCCCCAUCCCCCCUCUAAAGCCCGAUACCACCACAACAUCACCAAUUAACGUCGAACCUAUAGAGGCCGACAUCCCAUAAAUAGAGCCCAAUAUGUCUGCCUCACUCACCAUGCCACAUACAGAAGUCGACAUGUCUGACAUCCCAGAGACCGACACUUCUGGGAUUGUUACGACCACAGAAGGAUAUACACUGGAAUCUCGAAGAAUUAGUCGUAAGAGGAAAGCUGUUGAUAAAUAUACAGCUCAAGUAAAGAAGAAAAGUGUGGUUAAGCAUCCUCUCUCAGGUGUAGCUACGUCACUAUCCUAAGCGAUUGUCACAUACAACAUAGCACAUGACGUUCCACACAAUAUCGUUACAGAAAUGAUGGGCUGGAUCUCAGACGAUAAUACCGACAAUGAGGUUCGAGAGAACUCCUUUAAACCAUUCGCCAAACAAUUCUUCAAGGAAUUGAUUUCCCCGAGUUCAUGGGUCGAGUGCGAUAUAAGUUUCCUAGUCUUGACUUCUUUAUAGUUGGAUAUCUUGUACUUUUACUGACAUAGUAAUUUUUUGUCCAGACCAUAAAUACUUUAUUUUAUUUUAUGAAAGAAGAAUUUUAUACCCGACCUGACAUGUGCAUGCACAAAUUCACCAUCUUGCCAAUUGGUGUAACGAGUCACCUUAAUGCUCGUGGCGGGGUAUUUAAACGAAUAAAGAAUAAGACACUUCUGAAGGCUACCCUAGCAUGGGAGGAUGAAGACACGUACAAGGACUACGUCACUGGUAAAUUAAAUGUCAAAUGGGUAGAUGUGGAUUUCGAUUACAUGACAAUGAAUAUCAGUGAGCACUGGAUGGUCCUUGCAAUGGACAUUAACAGAG